RNAcentral lists this ribosomal RNA (256 nucleotides) under uncultured bacterium. RNAcentral describes it as "partial 16S ribosomal RNA". It matches the Rfam family "Bacterial small subunit ribosomal RNA", at positions 524 to 776 of the family's 1533-position model. The record is from RNAcentral.
UACGUAGGGUGCGAGCGUUGUCCGGAAUUAUUGGGCGUAAAGGGCUCGUAGGCGGUCCUGUCACGUCAGGAGUGAAAACUCGGGGCUCAACCCCGAGCCUGCUUCUGAUACGGGCAGACUGGAGGUAUGCAGGGGAGAACGGAAUUCCUGGUGUAGCGGUGGAAAUGCGCAGAUAUCAGGAGGAACACCGAUGGCGAAGGCAGGUCACUGGGCCGCAACUGACGCUGGAGGAGCGAAAGCGUGGGUAGCAAACAGG